GAUGAACGCUGGCGGCGUGCCUAAUACAUGCAAGUCGAGCGAACAGACGAGGAGCUUGCUCCUUCGACGUUAGCGGCGGACGGGUGAGUAACACGUGGGUAACCUACCUAUAAGACUGGGAUAACUUCGGGAAACCGGAGCUAAUACCGGAUAAUAUUUCGAACCGCAUGGUUCGAUAGUGAAAGAUGGCUUUGCUAUCACUUAUAGAUGGACCUGCGCCGUAUUAGCUAGUUGGUAAGGUAACGGCUUACCAAGGCAACGAUACGUAGCCGACCUGAGAGGGUGAUCGGCCACACUGGAACUGAGACACGGUCCAGACUCCUACGGGAGGCAGCAGUAGGGAAUCUUCCGCAAUGGGCGAAAGCCUGACGGAGCAACGCCGCGUGAGUGAUGAAGGUCUUCGGAUCGUAAAACUCUGUUAUUAGGGAAGAACAAACGUGUAAGUAACUGUGCACGUCUUGACGGUACCUAAUCAGAAAGCCACGGCUAACUACGUGCCAGCAGCCGCGGUAAUACGUAGGUGGCAAGCGUUAUCCGGAAUUAUUGGGCGUAAAGCGCGCGUAGGCGGUUUUUUAAGUCUGAUGUGAAAGCCCACGGCUCAACCGUGGAGGGUCAUUGGAAACUGGAAAACUUGAGUGCAGAUGAGGAAAGUGGAAUUCCAUGUGUAGCGGUGAAAUGCGCAGAGAUAUGGAGGAACACCAGUGGCGAAGGCGACUUUCUGGUCUGUAACUGACGCUGAUGUGCGAAAGCGUGGGGAUCAAACAGGAUUAGAUACCCUGGUAGUCCACGCCGUAAACGAUGAGUGCUAAGUGUUAGGGGGUUUCCGCCCCUUAGUGCUGCAGCUAACGCAUUAAGCACUCCGCCUGGGGAGUACGACCGCAAGGUUGAAACUCAAAGGAAUUGACGGGGACCCGCACAAGCGGUGGAGCAUGUGGUUUAAUUCGAAGCAACGCGAAGAACCUUACCAAAUCUUGACAUCCUUUGACCCUUCUAGAGAUAGAAGUUUCCCCUUCGGGGGACAAAGUGACAGGUGGUGCAUGGUUGUCGUCAGCUCGUGUCGUGAGAUGUUGGGUUAAGUCCCGCAACGAGCGCAACCCUUAAGCUUAGUUGCCAUCAUUAAGUUGGGCACUCUAAGUUGACUGCCGGUGACAAACCGGAGGAAGGUGGGGAUGACGUCAAAUCAUCAUGCCCCUUAUGAUUUGGGCUACACACGUGCUACAAUGGACAAUACAAAGGGCAGCGAAACCGCGAGGUCAAGCAAAUCCCAUAAAGUUGUUCUCAGUUCGGAUUGUAGUCUGCAACUCGACUACAUGAAGCUGGAAUCGCUAGUAAUCGUAGAUCAGCAUGCUACGGUGAAUACGUUCCCGGGUCU
This 1372-nucleotide ribosomal RNA is filed under the name uncultured bacterium. RNAcentral's name for it is "bacterial SSU rRNA". It matches the Rfam family "Bacterial small subunit ribosomal RNA", at positions 28 to 1381 of the family's 1533-position model. The record is from RNAcentral.